GACGAACGCUGGCGGCGUGCUUAACACAUGCAAGUCGAACGGUAAGGCUCCAGCUUGCUGGGGUACACGAGUGGCGAACGGGUGAGUAACACGUGGGUGACCUGCCCUGCACUUCGGGAUAAGCCUGGGAAACUGGGUCUAAUACCGGAUAGGACCAUGGUGUGGAUACUGUGGUGGAAAGUUUUUUCGGUGUGGGAUGGGCCCGCGGCCUAUCAGCUUGUUGGUGGGGUAAUGGCCUACCAAGGCGGCGACGGGUAGCCGGCCUGAGAGGGUGGACGGCCACAUUGGGACUGAGACACGGCCCAGACUCCUACGGGAGGCAGCAGUGGGGAAUAUUGCACAAUGGGCGGAAGCCUGAUGCAGCGACGCCGCGUGGGGGAGGACGGCCUUCGGGUUGUAAACUCCUUUCACCAUCGACGAAGGGUUUCUGACGGUAGAUGGAGAAGAAGCACCGGCUAACUACGU
Molecule: ribosomal RNA, 465 nt
Filed under: uncultured bacterium
Lineage: Bacteria
Description: partial 16S ribosomal RNA
Rfam family: Bacterial small subunit ribosomal RNA
Source: RNAcentral